UUCCACUUCCAGCCUCGGGCUGGGAAGGCAGGGCAGGCUGCCGGUGGGAUGUCAGAGGGGAAAUACAAUCUAAGGGACGGACGGCAGCCAGACAGGCUCCUAGAACACUCCGCGCGUUAUAAAGACGCGUCUUUAUGAGGGAACACCGCUAUUCGGCUACACGACGGCACUCCCCGCUACCACGAGCCCGGCACAGCCCUGUGACGAGAGCAGGGGAGCCGCGGGCAGUGACGCAGCCGCUCCCGGCCGCAGCCCCCCGCCCUCCGCCGCUCCUUGGGCGCCCCCCGCCGGCGGCACUCCGCCCCGCUGCUCUGCGGCCACGGCCGGCAGCUCGAAGGCGUCGGGCUGUGCGCGCCGCUCUCCCCGCUCAGCGGCCCCGCCCGUGUGACAGAGGCGGGAGCCCCAGAGCGCACCUCCGUGCAGCCGCUUUCUCGGGGAAGUCGGUGAGAAUUACUCAGUCAGCUUUCGCCUUCCCUAUUUGCAGAGGAAGAGAGCAGUUCUGGUUUCCUGAGCGCUUUCAACUUCAGUGACAUUUUUUCCCAGCUCAGAGAAGACCUUAGGCGUAAGCUCAGGGGAGAGCUCAGACACGACCUUAAGGAGAUCGGGUAUCUGAGCCUCUGCUACGACCACGAGGUUAGCAACCCCACACAUCUACCCACAGACACAGAAUGCACACGCACGCCUUGGAGCAGGAGGAGUCCUCGCUGAGGGAACACCACAGCUGACAGUGACGCUGCUAUGCCCUACUUCAGAAACACCGCUUCUCGUACCCAGCCGCCCCAAACGCAGCUCCGCGGAGGUCUUAAAGGCUGCGGGAAACUUCCCAGCGAGGCGUGCCCGAGCCCCGCAGCACGCAGCGCACUGCCCUUCCUUCGCCCCACGGACUGCAGCGGCCCACACCUGCAAUUCCAGGGACCCCAGAACGAACUUCAAAAUGCCAUCCCCAAAGAGCUCCCUCACCUGAAAGCACUUACAGCACACACGCGUACACGUGCACGAAAAA
Molecule: long non-coding RNA, 1003 nt
Filed under: Gallus gallus (chicken)
Lineage: Eukaryota; Metazoa; Chordata; Aves; Galliformes; Phasianidae
Description: long non-coding RNA NONGGAT003928
Source: RNAcentral